Long non-coding RNA from Cyprinus carpio carpio, 2382 nucleotides. The record is from Ensembl. NCBI's taxonomy places the organism in Eukaryota, Metazoa, Chordata, Actinopteri, Cypriniformes, Cyprinidae.
CUGAUUUCAGGUUGAACACACUCUCUCACAUCCUCUCUGAUCUCUGCGAGCCGUCACACACACAGAUGGUCACCUGGACCUCUCACUGACCGCAGCACCUGUAGCAUCGCCUCACCUGUGCAAUUUGUCGUGAGAAUUUUUUCUUUUCUCCUCAGAACAAGGGAGCUACAGAACGGGAACUAGUAAAAUGAUGGUUAAUCCAAUGAAUUCCCUCCUGGCUGUGCGCUGGUCAUCCAAGGCUUUCCAGAUACAACUGUACUGGUGAAGAAUUAUUUCUGCUGUCUGACUCUGGAGAAGUGCGUCGCUGAUUCUGUGAACAGCUGCCAGCGAGACCUUCAGCACAGAAAUCUCAACAACCUCCGAUCCGUGUUCUGGGAGAAAGUUGGAGGAGUUUGGGGAUUAGAUGGUGGUCUGAUACAUGAGCCUUACGUUUGUCUUUUUAAAGGUAAAGUGUGUAUUUCAAAAAUAAUGACUGUUUUCAUACAGGUUUUAUGAAGACGUUCCCUGUGAUCAGCAAACAAAUAGCCCUGCUCCAAAACUCACACCAUUGAUUGAGACCCCCCCCCCCACGUCCUCCACAAUCCAGGCACUCCUCCCAAGAACGACUGAGGGUUGAGGGCGGACAGGCAGAGGGAGAGAAGCCGGUCGUAUUGUUUAAUACCCUGGAGGUGGAGAUCUGGAGUGGAUUUUGAGAAAGCAAGAUAUUGGCUCCAUCUGUUUACGAACUUGAUGACUGAACUCAUCUGAGAGUGAGACACUCCUUCACCUCAUUAAAGUACAGUAGACUGUAAAUCUCUGAAGCUCGAGAGAAAUAAUGAGAAAUGCUUAAGUAGAGAUACUGAAAUGGAGACACUCACUCCCAAUAUUUGGAAUCAAAACUUGCAUAUUUCAAAAUGAACUCAGACAUUUCUCAUCAAGUUCUUCCAAAACCAAAAUGAUGUGAGCAAUGCAAUGCACACAAAUUGAAAAGUCAUAUAUGCUCUGAACUUAUUACGGUACAUCAGCAAUUCUCCCAUUUGGGUGUUUAUUACUCAUUUAUUACUCAUUUUUACCUAAACCACAAUUAGUUAUGAUGUAGCCUACCAUCUGCAUUCAUGUGUGUAAGUGCUAUAAUGUUCCAGGAUCUCCUCUGCGGUCCUCUGGAGAUCCUGUCCAAAGCUUAAUGUGAGAGUGACGACCCCUUUCUCAGUAAACACACUGUGCUUUUACUAGUUAACUCACCCUUUCCCCCCUGGCCACAGAAGAUGCCGUCAAAUCCCGUGGAGAGAUGUGAGUCAGCCUCGCCUCCAUCCUUUAAAGCUCAUUACAACUUGUGUUUAAUGCAACGCUACUCUCAGAACCGUUUGUCUAAUUGUGCGCCAUUGUGUUUAACCCAUCUGAGCCUCUGACAGCACUCAACAAUUGGAAAUGCAGUCGCAGGGUAGCAGUUGUCAGUGCGAGCAUGCUAAUUUGAAUAUGCAGCGAACGGGAGGCUUUCAGAGCGAGACAGAGAGGGAGGCCAUAUUGAGAGCCACCAUCUGUGUCCGUGUCGCUCAGUGCGGCCAAAGCAGGGAGAUCCCAUAUGUCACAUGAAGCCCCGUUGGGUAUAGCACUCUUGUUGCUGUUUGUUGUUUUUAUUUAUUUAUGAAAGGCCCUAGGAAUGAGAAAAUCAAGCCGGGUUUGCAGUGCCAGGGCCGAAGGGGCUAAAAUCUGGCAUCGUUAGGACCAUCUAACGAGCAGACUUCAUGUCAAUUGGCCUGCGUGUGUGUGUUUACCAUCUGCAAGACGGUAUGUGCACAUCUGCUGAAUCACUGUGGUCCAUUGGGCGUUGGACCAUCAUGGGACCAUGUGGUGCGGUGGCAGAGACGGUCCCCAGAGCUUUCAUUGACAGAUGGCUUCGGUGCCUGCCAGCACAGUGCUGAGACGUCGCCGUGCACCAUGCAAGAACUGCCACCGGGGCCACGGGACACUCCCCACCCACAGCUGCCCACUGAUGUCAUCUCUAAAGCAGUAAUAGUGACCCACUUCCAAUUCCAGCAGAAUUCCGGAUGCGCCCCAUUUCAAGCGUCCUCAGGUGCAUGGUGUUGCGCUCUUGAAUCGGGCUCUUUCAGCGAUUUGUCACGGUUCUGUUGGGCCCUGCUGCGACGGCACGUGCCAGAUCACCGCGGCGGCUCUGCUCCCCGUGUGCCAGACGGCCUCUCGUCGUCCUGACAGCCCACCACUGCUGUCACCCGCCCUGCGCCCGGACACCGGCUCCCGGCCCUGGCAACACGAGCGUAACCACAACCCCUACCCAGAAUAGAUGCAGACACAGGGGCCAGACAGAAACCCCCAGAGGACACACACACGCUGUACCCUGCAGCUCCACAGACUGUUCAUUUGCCCGAGUCGGGAUGAGACAAG